UGGGUGACACAACCAGGUGACACUGGGUGACAACCGGGUGACAUUGCUGGGUGACACCGCCGGGUGACGACGCUGGGUGACACAACCAGGUGACACCGCCAGGUGAUACUGGGUGACAACUGGGUGACAUUGCCAGGUGACACCGCCAGGUGACGACACUGGGUGACACAACCAGGUGACACAGGGUGACAACCGGGUGAUGUUGCGGGGUGACACCGCCGGGUGAUGACACUGGGUGACACAACCAGGUGACACCGCCAGGUGAUACUGGGUGACAACUGGGUGACAUUGCCGGGUGACACCGCCAGGUGACGACACUGGGUGACACAACCAGGUGACAGGGGGUGACAACCGGGUGACGUUGCGGGGUGACACCGCCGGGUGACGACGCUGGGUGACACAACCAGUGCGCCGCCCCCCCCGUCACCGGGCCGUGCCGCGCCGCGUUCCGGCGGUGGUACCACAGCCCCCAACACCGCGACUGCCGGCCCUUCACCUACGGCGGCUGUCGGGGGAACAGCAACAACUACCUCCGGAAGGAAGAGUGUCUGCAGCGCU
Molecule: long non-coding RNA, 558 nt
Filed under: Numida meleagris (helmeted guineafowl)
Lineage: Eukaryota; Metazoa; Chordata; Aves; Galliformes; Numididae
Description: lncRNA (ENSNMEG00000000858.1)
Source: RNAcentral